Molecule: ribosomal RNA, 580 nt
Filed under: Klebsiella pneumoniae
Lineage: Bacteria; Pseudomonadati; Pseudomonadota; Gammaproteobacteria; Enterobacterales; Enterobacteriaceae
Description: bacterial SSU rRNA
Rfam family: Bacterial small subunit ribosomal RNA
Source: RNAcentral
UUUAUUGGAGAGUUUGAUCCUGGCUCAGGAUGAACGCUGGCGGCGUGCCUAAUACAUGCAAGUCGAGCGAAUGGAUUAAGAGCUUGCUCUUAUGAAGUUAGCGGCGGACGGGUGAGUAACACGUGGGUAACCUGCCCAUAAGACUGGGAUAACUCCGGGAAACCGGGGCUAAUACCGGAUAACAUUUUGAACUACAUGGUUCGAAAUUGAAAGGCGGCUUCGGCUGUCACUUAUGGAUGGACCCGCGUCGCAUUAGCUAGUUGGUGAGGUAACGGCUCACCAAGGCAAAGAUGCGUAGCCGACCCGAGAGGGUGAUCGGCCACACUGGGACUGAGACACGGCCCAGACUCCUACGGGAGGCAGCAGUAGGGAAUCUUCCGCAAUGGACGAAAGUCUGACGGAGCAACGCCGCGUGAGUGAUGAAGGCUUUCGGGUCGUAAAACUCUGUUGUUAGGGAAGAACAAGUGCUAGUUGAAUAAGCUGGCACCUUGACGGUACCUAACCAGAAAGCCACGGCUAACUACGUGCCAGCAGCCGCGGUAAUACGUAGGUGGCAAGCGUUAUCCGGAAUUAUUGGGCG